GUCCGACGAGAAAGUGGAGCAUCCAUGAGUAAAGUGGCGCACGGGUGAGUAACACGUGACUAACCUACCCUUGAGUGGGGAAUAACUUCGGGAAACCGAGGCUAAUACCGCAUAACACCUACGGGUCAAAGGAGCAAUUCGCUUAAGGAGGGGGUCGCGGCAGAUUAGUUAGUUGGCGGGGUAAUGGCCCACCAAGACGGUGAUCUGUAUCCGGCCUGAGAGGGCGCACGGACACACUGGAACUGAAACACGGUCCAGACUCCUACGGGAGGCAGCAGUGGGGAAUUUUGCGCAAUGGGGGAAACCCUGACGCAGCAACGCCGCGUGGAGGAUGAAGUCCCUUGGGACGUAAACUCCUUUCGAUCGGGACGAUUAUGACGGUACCGGAAGAAGAAGCCCCGGCUAACUUCGUGCCAGCAGCCGCGGUAAUACGAGGGGGGCGAGCGUUGUUCGGAAUUAUUGGGCGUAAAGGGCGCGUAGGCGGUCGGAUAAGUCUUGUGUGAAAUCUCCGGGCUCAACUCGGAGUCUGCACGAGAAACUACCUGGCUUGAGUGUGGGAGAGGUGAGUGGAAUUCCUGGUGUAGCGGUGAAAUGCGUAGAUAUCAGGAGGAACACCUGUGGCGAAAGCGGCUCACUGGACCACAACUGACGCUGAGGCGCGAAAGCUAGGGGAGCAAACAGGAUUAGAUACCCUGGUAGUCCUAGCCCUAAACGAUGAUCGCUUGGUGUGACGGGUACCUAAU
This 743-nucleotide ribosomal RNA is filed under the name uncultured bacterium. RNAcentral describes it as "bacterial SSU rRNA". It matches the Rfam family "Bacterial small subunit ribosomal RNA", at positions 61 to 837 of the family's 1533-position model. The record is from RNAcentral.